Molecule: long non-coding RNA, 981 nt
Filed under: Chlamydomonas reinhardtii
Lineage: Eukaryota; Viridiplantae; Chlorophyta; Chlorophyceae; Chlamydomonadales; Chlamydomonadaceae
Description: long non-coding RNA (CREI_LNC000845)
Source: RNAcentral
UUGAUCAUCAGGUAGUCCUCGCUGACCACACCGUAGUGGGGGAAGCCACCCAUGGGGGUGAUCUCCUUCUUGGUCACAUCGAACUCCGUGGUGGCCAGGUGGCUGGCGUCGCCCUUCUUGCCGAUCUUGUACACCUGCGCCAAGCAUGAAUGCACGGCAGAUGCGCACAAGCGGUGACCGCAAGCAAUGGAAAAGGAGCCGUGGAGCGAGGACAACGCAGGAAUCAUCCCACCGAUACGCUGCGGCAGCACAGCCAUCCCCAUAAUCCGGUACACCCUCCCCAACAGGGCACUAAACAUUAUUCCAGUCGCCACGGCCGCCUCGCACCUUCUUGUUGAUCUCAGUGCGGUGGUGGAAGCCCUGCUGACCGGCGCGGGCCACAGUCCACUUCACGCGGGCAGGGUGCCACGCGCCAAUGCAAGCCACCUUGCGGAGACCGCGGUGAGUCUUGCGGGGCAGGCGGGUCACACCCCAGCGCUGCACGACACCCUGGACUCCGUGACCCUUGGUGAUGGCGAUGGUGUCGAUCAUCUCGUUGGGCUGGAACACGGCGUCCACAGACACCUGCUUCUCGAACAUGCUGUAGGCGAAGUCGACCUUCUGCGCCACAGUGCCGCCGUUCACCUGGAGGGACAUGAAGGGAAAGAGGAGGCCACGGUCGCGAUCAGCAGGUGCAGCCGCCAUCAGGCCAAGCACAACGCCGGUGCUACCAUGACCACCGCAGUGCGCACCUGCACUGCCCCUCUUGGCCCCGCCCCGUGCCUGGCCACACCCGCCACCCACCUGGACCUCCAUCAGGUGGGCCUUCUUCACGCCAAAGCCCAGCUUCUUGACCUGGGUGUGCGCCAGCACACGGAUCACGCAGCAGUGCUUCUUCAGGGCGGCCAGCUCGGCCUCGAUGGCCUUCUUGCCGUCGCUGUACUUCUUGGCGUACUUGGUGAAGGCCUUCUUCUUGGACUUGUACCAGUUCUUGUAGAACCU